RNAcentral lists this ribosomal RNA (1494 nucleotides) under metagenome. RNAcentral's name for it is "bacterial SSU rRNA". It matches the Rfam family "Bacterial small subunit ribosomal RNA". The record is from RNAcentral.
AGAGUUUGAUCCUGGCUCAGGACGAACGCUGGCGGUGUGCUUAAUACAUGCAAGUCGAACGAUGAGUACCUUUCGGGGUACAUCAGUGGCGGACGGCUGAGUAACACGUAGGUAACGUGCCCUUUACUGGGGGAUAACAUCGGGAAACCGGUGCUAAUACCGCAUAAGUCAUCGAUUGAAAUAUUGAUGAUUAAAGAAUUUCGGUAAAGGAUCGGCCUGCGUCUGAUUAGCUAGUUGGUAGGGUAAAGGCCUACCAAGGCAAUGAUCAGUAGUUGGUCUGAGAGGAUGACCAGCCAGAGUGGGACUGAGAUACGGCCCACACUUCUACGGAAGGCAGCAGUAGGGAAUUUUGCGCAAUGGGCGAAAGCCUGACGCAGCAACACCGCGUGUAGGAUGAAGGUUUUAGGAUCGUAAACUACUGUCAGCAGGGAAUAAAUUGACUGUACCUGCAGAGGAAGCAUCGGCUAACUACGUGCCAGCAGCCGCGGUAAGACGUAGGAUGCAAGCGUUGUCCGGAAUUAUUGGGCGUAAAGAGUUCGUAGGCGGUUGCCUAAGUCUGGUGUUAAAGCCCGGAGCUCAACUCCGGCAUGGCAUUGGAAACUGGGCAGCUAGAGUGUGGUAGAGGUAUCGGGAAUUCCUGGUGUAGCGGUGAAAUGCGUAGAUAUCAGGAGGAACACCGGUGGCGAAAGCGCGAUACUGGGCCAUAACUGACGCUGAGGAACGAAAGCUAGGGGAGCGAAAGGGAUUAGAUACCCCUGUAGUCCUAGCCGUAGACGAUGGAUACUAGGUGUUGGAGGAUUCGACCCCUUCAGUGCCGCAGCUAACGCGAUAAGUAUCCCGCCUGGGGAGUACGACCGCAAGGUUGAAACUCAAAGGAAUUGACGGGGGCCCGCACAAGCGGUGGAACAUGUGGUUUAAUUCGAUGCAACGCGAAGAACCUUACCUGGGCUUGACAUCUUUGGAACCUUGCGGAAACGUGAGGGUGCCUUCGGGAGCCAAAAGACAGGUGGUGCACGGUUGUCGUCAGCUCGUGUCGUGAGAUGUUGGGUUAAGUCCCGCAACGAGCGCAACCCUCGUGGUCUGUUGUUACAGGUCGUAAGAUGCUGAACCCUCAGGCCAGACUGCCGGUGACAAACCGGAGGAAGGUGGGGAUGACGUCAAAUCAUCACGCCCCUUAUGUCCCGGGCUACACACGUGUUACAAUGGGAGUGGACAAUGGGUCGCUUGGCAGCAAUGUCCGGCAAAUCCCCUAAACCACCCCUCAGUUCGGAUCGUAGUCUGCAACUCGACUACGUGAAGUCGGAAUCGCUAGUAAACGCAGAUCAGCACGCUGCGUUGAAUACGUUCCCGGGCCUUGUACACACCGCCCGUCACACCACGAAAGAGGGUUAUACCCGAAGUCGGUGCCCCAACCGUAAGGAGGGAGCCGCCGAAGGUAGAAUUCUUGAUUGGGGUGAAGUCGUAACAAGGUAGCCGUACCGGAAGGUGUGGCUG